RNAcentral lists this ribosomal RNA (253 nucleotides) under uncultured prokaryote. Its description in RNAcentral is "partial 16S ribosomal RNA". It matches the Rfam family "Bacterial small subunit ribosomal RNA", at positions 524 to 776 of the family's 1533-position model. The record is from RNAcentral.
UACGUAGGGUGCAAGCGUUAAUCGGAAUUACUGGGCGUAAAGCGUGCGCAGGCGGUUCUAUAAGACAGAUGUGAAAUCCCCGGGCUCAACCUGGGAACUGCAUUUGUGACUGUAGAGCUGGAGUACGGCAGAGGGGGAUGGAAUUCCGCGUGUAGCAGUGAAAUGCGUAGAUAUGCGGAGGAACACCGGUGGCGAAGGCGCUCUACUAGGCCGCAACUGACACUGAGGGACGAAAGCUAGGGGAGCGGAUGGG